AUCCAGCUGACGAGUCUUAAGUGUGACGAAACGUGCGUCCUGGAU
Molecule: non-coding RNA, 45 nt
Organism: Schistosoma curassoni
Lineage: Eukaryota; Metazoa; Platyhelminthes; Trematoda; Strigeidida; Schistosomatidae
Source: Rfam